ACGAUUCCUCUGUAGUUCAGUCGGUAGAACGGCGGACUGUUAAUCCGUAUGUCACUGGUUCGAGUCCAGUCAGACGUU
RNAcentral lists this transfer RNA (78 nucleotides) under Serratia marcescens. RNAcentral's name for it is "tRNA-Asn". It matches the Rfam family "tRNA". Rfam says of the family: Transfer RNA (tRNA) molecules are approximately 80 nucleotides in length. Their secondary structure includes four short double-helical elements and three loops (D, anti-codon, and T loops). Further hydrogen bonds mediate the characteristic L-shaped molecular structure. tRNAs have two regions of fundamental functional importance: the anti-codon, which is responsible for specific mRNA codon recognition, and the 3' end, to which the tRNAs corresponding amino acid is attached (by aminoacyl-tRNA synthetases). tRNAs cope with the degeneracy of the genetic code in two manners: having more than one tRNA (with a specific anti-codon) for a particular amino acid; and 'wobble' base-pairing, i.e. permitting non-standard base-pairing at the 3rd anti-codon position. The record is from RNAcentral. Lineage: Bacteria; Pseudomonadati; Pseudomonadota; Gammaproteobacteria; Enterobacterales; Yersiniaceae.